AGAGUUUGAUCCUGGCUCAGAUUGAACGCUGGCGGCAGGCCUAACACAUGCAAGUCGGGCGGUAGCACGGGGGAGCUUGCUCCCUGGGUGACGAGCGGCGGACGGGUGAGUAAUGUCUGGGAAACUGCCUGAUGGAGGGGGAUAACUACUGGAAACGGUAGCUAAUACCGCAUAACCUCGCAAGAGCAAAGAGGGGGACCUUCGGGCCUCUCGCCAUCAGAUGUGCCCAGAUGGGAUUAGCUAGUAGGUGAGGUAAUGGCUCACCUAGGCGACGAUCCCUAGCUGGUCUGAGAGGAUGACCAGCCACACUGGAACUGAGACACGGUCCAGACUCCUACGGGAGGCAGCAGUGGGGAAUAUUGCACAAUGGGCGCAAGCCUGAUGCAGCCAUGCCGCGUGUGUGAAGAAGGCCUUCGGGUUGUAAAGCACUUUCAGCGGGGAGGAAGGCGGUGAGGUUAAUAACCUCAUCGAUUGACGUUACCCGCAGAAGAAGCACCGGCUAACUCCGUGCCAGCAGCCGCGGUAAUACGGAGGGUGCAAGCGUUAAUCGGAAUGACUGGGCGUAAAGCGCACGCAGGCGGUCUGUUAAGUUGGAUGUGAAAUCCCCGGGCUUAACCUGGGAACUGCAUUCAAAACUGACAGGCUAGAGUCUUGUAGAGGGGGGUAGAAUUCCAGGUGUAGCGGUGAAAUGCGUAGAGAUCUGGAGGAAUACCGGUGGCGAAGGCGGCCCCCUGGACAAAGACUGACGCUCAGGUGCGAAAGCGUGGGGAGCAAACAGGACUAGAUACCCUGGUAGUCCACGCUGUAAACGAUGUCGAUUUGGAGGUUGUGCCCUUGAGGCGUGGCUUCCGGAGCUAACGCGUUAAAUCGACCGCCUGGGGAGUACGGCCGCAAGGUUAAAACUCAAAUGAAUUGACGGGGGCCCGCACAAGCGGUGGAGCAUGUGGUUUAAUUCGAUGCAACGCGAAGAACCUUACCUACUCUUGACAUCCAGAGAACUUAGCAGAGAUGCUUUGGUGCCUUCGGGAACUCUGAGACAGGUGCUGCAUGGCUGUCGUCAGCUCGUGUUGUGAAAUGUUGGGUUAAGUCCCGCAACGAGCGCAACCCUUAUCCUUUGUUGCCAGCGAUUCGGUCGGGAACUCAAAGGAGACUGCCGGUGAUAAACCGGAGGAAGGUGGGGAUGACGUCAAGUCAUCAUGGCCCUUACGAGUAGGGCUACACACGUGCUACAAUGGCGUAUACAAAGAGAAGCGAUCUCGCGAGAGCAAGCGGACCUCAUAAAGUACGUCGUAGUCCGGAUUGGAGUCUGCAACUCGACUCCAUGAAGUCGGAAUCGCUAGUAAUCGUAGAUCAGAAUGCUACGGUGAAUACGUUCCCGGGCCUUGUACACACCGCCCGUCACACCAUGGGAGUGGGUUGCAAAAGAAGUAGGUAGCUUAACCUUCGGGAGGGCGCUUACCACUUUGUGAUUCAUGACUGGGGUGAAGUCGUAACAAGGUAACCGUAGGGGAACCUGCGGUUGGAUCACCU
RNAcentral lists this ribosomal RNA (1530 nucleotides) under Pectobacterium brasiliense. Its description in RNAcentral is "bacterial SSU rRNA". It matches the Rfam family "Bacterial small subunit ribosomal RNA". Lineage: Bacteria; Pseudomonadati; Pseudomonadota; Gammaproteobacteria; Enterobacterales; Pectobacteriaceae. The record is from RNAcentral.